RNAcentral lists this ribosomal RNA (899 nucleotides) under uncultured beta proteobacterium. RNAcentral's name for it is "bacterial SSU rRNA". It matches the Rfam family "Bacterial small subunit ribosomal RNA", at positions 68 to 964 of the family's 1533-position model. The record is from RNAcentral. Lineage: Bacteria; Pseudomonadati; Pseudomonadota; Betaproteobacteria.
GCGAAAGGGGGGCAACCCCCGAGUAGAGUGGCGAACGGGUGAGUAAUACAUCGGAACGUGUCCAGUAGCGGGGGAUAACCUCUCGAAAGAGAGGCUAAUACCGCAUACGACCUACGGGUGAAAGAGGGGGAUCGCAAGACCUCUCACUAUUGGAGCGGCCGAUGUCGGAUUAGCUAGUUGGUGAGGUAAAAGCUCACCAAGGCGACGAUCCGUAGCUGGUCUGAGAGGACGACCAGCCACACUGGAACUGAGACACGGUCCAGACUCCUACGGGAGGCAGCAGUGGGGAAUUUUGGACAAUGGGCGCAAGCCUGAUCCAGCCAUGCCGCGUGGGUGAAGAAGGCCUUCGGGUUGUAAAGCCCUUUCGGCUGGGACGAAAAGGUCCGUGCUAACACCACGGAUCCAUGACGGUACCAGCAGAAGAAGCACCGGCUAACUACGUGCCAGCAGCCGCGGUAAUACGUAGGGUGCAGGCGUUAAUCGGAAUUACUGGGCGUAAAGCGUGCGCAGGCGGUUUGCUAAGACAGGUGUGAAAUCCCCGGGCUUAACCUGGGAACUGCGCUUGUAACUGGCAAGCUUGAGUGUGGCAGAGGGGGGUGGAAUUCCACGUGUAGCAGUGAAAUGCGUAGAGAUGUGGAGGAACACCGAUGGCGAAGGCAGCCCCCUGGGCUAACACUGACGCUCAUGCACGAAAGCGUGGGGAGCAAACAGGAUUAGAUACCCUGGUAGUCCACGCCCUAAACUAUGUCAACUGGUUGUCGGGGAAGCAAUUCCUUGGUAACGAAGCUAACGCGUGAAGUUGACCGCCUGGGGAGUACGGCCGCAAGGUUAAAACUCAAAGGAAUUGACGGGGACCCGCACAAGCGGUGGAUUAUGUGGAUUAAUUCGAUGCACCGCGA